Molecule: ribosomal RNA, 465 nt
Filed under: uncultured bacterium
Lineage: Bacteria
Description: partial 16S ribosomal RNA
Rfam family: Bacterial small subunit ribosomal RNA
Source: RNAcentral
GACGAACGCUGGCGGCGUGCUUAACACAUGCAAGUCGAACGGAAAGGCCCUGCUUGCAGGGUACUCGAGUGGCGAACGGGUGAGUAACACGUGGGUGAUCUGCCCUGCACUUCGGGAUAAGCCUGGUAAACUGGGUCUAAUACCGGCUAGGAGCCAUUUUUAGUGUGAUGGUUGGAAAGUUUUUUCGGUGUAGGAUGAGCUCGCGGCCUAUCAGCUUGUUGGUGGGGUAAUGUCCUACCAAGGCGGCGACGGGUAGCCGGCCUGAGAGGGUGGACGGCCACAUUGGGACUGAGAUAAGGCCGAGACUCCUAAGGGAGGGAGAAGGGGGGAAUAUUGCACAAUGGGCGCAAGCCUGAUGCAGAGACGCCGCGUGGGGGAUGACGGCCUUAGGGUUGUAAACUACUUUCGCUAGGGACGAAGCUUUUUGUGACGGUACCUAGAUAAGAAGCACCGGCUAACUACGUG